Molecule: non-coding RNA, 45 nt
Organism: Schistosoma mansoni
Lineage: Eukaryota; Metazoa; Platyhelminthes; Trematoda; Strigeidida; Schistosomatidae
Source: Rfam
AUCCAGUUGACGAGUCCCAAAUAGGACGAAACGCGCGUCGUGGAU